RNAcentral lists this ribosomal RNA (301 nucleotides) under uncultured bacterium. RNAcentral's name for it is "partial 16S ribosomal RNA". It matches the Rfam family "Bacterial small subunit ribosomal RNA", at positions 509 to 807 of the family's 1533-position model. The record is from RNAcentral.
CAGUAGCCGCGGUAAUACGGAGGGGGCUGGCGUUGUUCGGAAUUACUGGGCGUAAAGCGCACGUAGGCGGCUUGGUAAGUUAGAGGUGAAAGCCUGGAGCUCAACUCCAGAAUUGCCUUUAAGACUGCCGAGCUAGCAGGUGAGAGAGGUAAGUGGAAUUCCGAGUGUAGAGGUGAAAUUCGUAGAUAUUCGGAAGAACACCAGUGGCGAAGGCGGCUUACUGGCUCAUACUGGACGCUGAGGUGCGAAAGCGUGGGGAGCAAACAGGAUUAGAUACCCGCGUAGUCCCUGUCUCUUAUAC